CUCAGCCUUCCUCUGGGCCCUUUACUGUAAUGCAUAAUUUGUAUUAAUCGUGUUAAAAUAAGAUUGCGUUGACGCAUAAACUCACAUAUACACACACAGUGACACCCAUAUAUAAACACACACAUGCAUAUUCAAACAAGCGUGCACACAAACACUAAACACGCAUAUAUGAACACACACACGUACAUAUAUAAAGACACACAAGUGCACACAUGCAUAUAUAAACGCACAUAUACACACACACACAAACACACGUGCACAUCCACAUGUAUAUAUAAACACACACAGGAUUUGGGCUUCUGGAAGUUGAUCUCUAUAAAUCCUGAAAGGAAGAGACUUAAGAUCUUCCAUGAGGUUAACUAAGCAGGUUUUACAAAGAAUAUAUUUCGAAUGACAAAUGCAUUUUAAAUAUUGAUUGAUAGUGAAUCAAAAUAUGUUUAUACUACAAUAUUGUGUAUAAUUUCAGACGUUAACUGUUUCAUAAUGCAAGGCUCUGAUAUCAGUUUUAUAUUCAUAAUGCAAGUGAUCAAUUCAUGUGCCUGAAAAGGCAUAUCAAUUGAUCACUUGCAUUGUGAAGGAAAUAUGCUUAGUUACUUUUCUUAUUUGAGAAAUAACUUGAACCUCGUUUUUGUUUUUUGAUUUUUCAUGCUUUUCGUUUCAUGUCAUUUUUUUGAUAUGUUUGAUUUUUAUUGAUAGAGGGAAUACCUUCAGUGAAUUGUAAUUCUUGCAUACAGGCUACAAGGCAGUCUCUAGGCUUUAUGUGAAAAUGAAAAUGACCAAGCAUUUGUUUAUAAUUCAUUUGAAAAAAAAGUCUGUAUAAUCAGCAACCACUCACCAAACAGACGGAGAGAACAUCACCCAAUUGGGUUAUAUCCUAAUACAUUUCAUUACACAACAGUACUUUAAUCUAUUGUCUGGAUUGAUAUUAAUGUACUUAAUGCACUGGUCUAUGAAAUCAAACUAAGUAGAUGAGAAUGUAUGUCGAUGCAUUUUAAUGCAUAGUUUUAUAAUUGUGAACACGAAAACAUACACAGGCCUAAUAAAAACAGUUUUUUUGCAAAUACAAA
This is a long non-coding RNA of Gadus macrocephalus (Pacific cod), 1067 nucleotides long. RefSeq lists it as uncharacterized. The record is from RefSeq and is a predicted model, not a curated record. NCBI's taxonomy places the organism in Eukaryota, Metazoa, Chordata, Actinopteri, Gadiformes, Gadidae. The transcript has 2 exons.